GAUGAACGCUGGCGGCGUGCCUAAUACAUGCAAGUCGAGCGAACAGACGAGGAGCUUGCUUCUCUGACGUUAGCGGCGGACGGGUGAGUAACACGUGGAUAACCUACCUAUAAGACUGGGAUAACUUCGGGAAACCGGAGCUAAUACCGGAUAAUAUUUUGAACCGCAUGGUUCAAUAGUGAAAGACGGUCUUGCUGUCACUUAUAGAUGGAUCCGCGCUGCAUUAGCUAGUUGGUAAGGUAACGGCUUACCAAGGCAACGAUGCAUAGCCGACCUGAGAGGGUGAUCGGCCACACUGGAACUGAGACACGGUCCAGACUCCUACGGGAGGCAGCAGUAGGGAAUCUUCCGCAAUGGGCGAAAGCCUGACGGAGCAACGCCGCGUGAGUGAUGAAGGUCUUCGGAUCGUAAAACUCUGUUAUUAGGGAAGAACAAAUGUGUAAGUAACUAUGCACGUCUUGACGGUACCUAAUCAGAAAGCCACGGCUAACUACGUG
RNAcentral lists this ribosomal RNA (497 nucleotides) under uncultured bacterium. RNAcentral describes it as "partial 16S ribosomal RNA". It matches the Rfam family "Bacterial small subunit ribosomal RNA", at positions 28 to 507 of the family's 1533-position model. The record is from RNAcentral.